GUAGGGGAGCGUUCUGUAAGCCUGUGAAGGUGUGCUGUGAGGUAUGCUGGAGGUAUCAGAAGUGCGAAUGCUGACAUAAGUAACGAUAAAGCGGGUGAAAAGCCCGCUCGCCGGAAGACCAAGGGUUCCUGUCCAACGUUAAUCGGGGCAGGGUGAGUCGACCCCUAAGGCGAGGCCGAAAGGCGUAGUCGAUGGGAAACAGGUUAAUAUUCCUGUACUUGGUGUUACUGCGAAGGGGGGACGGAGAAGGCUAUGUUGGCCGGGCGACGGUUGUCCCGGUUUAAGCGUGUAGGCUGGUUUUCCAGGCAAAUCCGGAAAAUCAAGGCCGAGGCGUGAUGACGAGGCACUACGGUGCUGAAGCAACAAAUGCCCUGCUUCCAGGAAAAGCCUCUAAGCAUCAGGUAACAUCAAAUCGUACCCCAAACCGACACAGGUGGUCAGGUAGAGAAUACCAAGGCGCUUGAGAGAACUCGGGUGAAGGAACUAGGCAAAAUGGUGCCGUAACUUCGGGAGAAGGCACGCUGAUACGUAGGUGAAGCGACUUGCUCGUGGAGCUGAAAUCAGUCGAAGAUACCAGCUGGCUGCAACUGUUUAUUAAAAACACAGCACUGUGCAAACACGAAAGUGGACGUAUACGGUGUGACGCCUGCCCGGUGCCGGAAGGUUAAUUGAUGGGGUUAGCGCAAGCGAAGCUCUUGAUCGAAGCCCCGGUAAACGGCGGCCGUAACUAUAACGGUCCUAAGGUAGCGAAAUUCCUUGUCGGGUAAGUUCCGACCUGCACGAAUGGCGUAAUGAUGGCCAGGCUGUCUCCACCCGAGACUCAGUGAAAUUGAACUCGCUGUGAAGAUGCAGUGUACCCGCGGCAAGACGGAAAGACCCCGUGAACCUUUACUAUAGCUUGACACUGAACAUUGAGCCUUGAUGUGUAGGAUAGGUGGGAGGCUUUGAAGUGUGGACGCCAGUCUGCAUGGAGCCGACCUUGAAAUACCACCCUUUAAUGUUUGAUGUUCUAACGUGGACCCGUGAUCCGGGUUGCGGACAGUGUCUGGUGGGUAGUUUGACUGGGGCGGUCUCCUCCUAAAGAGUAACGGAGGAGCACGAAGGUUGGCUAAUCCUGGUCGGACAUCAGGAGGUUAGUGCAAUGGCAUAAGCCAGCUUGACUGCGAGCGUGACGGCGCGAGCAGGUGCGAAAGCAGGUCAUAGUGAUCCGGUGGUUCUGAAUGGAAGGGCCAUCGCUCAACGGAUAAAAGGUACUCCGGGGAUAACAGGCUGAUACCGCCCAAGAGUUCAUAUCGACGGCGGUGUUUGGCACCUCGAUGUCGGCUCAUCACAUCCUGGGGCUGAAGUAGGUCCCAAGGGUAUGGCUGUUCGCCAUUUAAAGUGGUACGCGAGCUGGGUUUAGAACGUCGUGAGACAGUUCGGUCCCUAUCUGCCGUGGGCGCUGGAGAACUGAGGGGGGCUGCUCCUAGUACGAGAGGACCGGAGUGGACGCAUCACUGGUGUUCGGGUUGUCAUGCCAAUGGCACUGCCCGGUAGCUAAAUGCGGAAGAGAUAAGUGCUGAAAGCAUCUAAGCACGAAACUUGCCCCGAGAUGAGUUCUCCCUGACCCUUUAAGGGUCCUGAAGGAACGUUGAAGACGACGACGUUGAUAGGCCGGGUGUGUAAGCGCAGCGAUGCGUUGAGCUAACCGGUACUAAUGAACCGUGAGGCUUAACCUUACAACGCCGAAG
This 1730-nucleotide ribosomal RNA is filed under the name Shigella flexneri. Its description in RNAcentral is "partial 23S ribosomal RNA". It matches the Rfam family "Bacterial large subunit ribosomal RNA", at positions 1228 to 2925 of the family's 2925-position model. Lineage: Bacteria; Pseudomonadati; Pseudomonadota; Gammaproteobacteria; Enterobacterales; Enterobacteriaceae. The record is from RNAcentral.